RNAcentral lists this unclassified non-coding RNA (343 nucleotides) under soil metagenome. Its description in RNAcentral is "partial contains 5.8S ribosomal RNA, internal transcribed spacer 2, and large subunit ribosomal RNA". The stretch from base 1 to 120 matches the Rfam family "5.8S ribosomal RNA", at positions 35 to 154 of the family's 154-position model. The record is from RNAcentral.
GAUGAAGAACGUAGCGAAAUGCGAUAAGUAAUGUGAAUUGCAGAAUUCAGUGAAUCAUCGAAUCUUUGAACGCACAUUGCGCCCGCCAGCAUUCUGGCGGGCAUGCCUGUGCGAGCGUCAUUUCAACCCUCGAGCCCCCCCGGGGGCCUCGGUGUUGGGGGACGGCACACCAGCCGCCCCCGAAAUGCAGUGGCGACCCCGCCGCAGCCUCCCCUGCGUAGUAGCACACACCUCGCACCGGAGCGCGGAGGCGGUCACGCCGUAAAACGCCCAACUUUCUUAGAGUUGACCUCGGAUCAGGUAGGAAUACCCGCUGAACUUAAGCAUAUCAAUAAGCGGAGGA